This 270-nucleotide ribosomal RNA is filed under the name uncultured prokaryote. RNAcentral describes it as "partial 16S ribosomal RNA". It matches the Rfam family "Archaeal small subunit ribosomal RNA", at positions 474 to 743 of the family's 1478-position model. The record is from RNAcentral.
UACUAGCGGUCCAAGUCGCAGCCAUUUUUAUUGGGUCUAAAACAUCCGUAGCUUGCUUAAUAAGUUUCUUGUGAAAUCUUAUGUCUCAAGCAUAAGGCGGGCAGGAAAUACUGUUAAGCUAGAGAUUGGGAGGCGUGAGAAGUACGUUCAAAGUAGCGGUAAAAUGUGUUAAUCUUGGACGGACUCACAACAGCGAAGGCAUCUCACGAGAACAAUUCUGACAGUAAGGGAUGAAGGCUAGGGGCGCAAAACGGAUUAGAUACCCCCGUA